UAAACCUAAAGGUUUUGAGAACAAAACCAAUCAUAACUUAGUUUGCAAGUUGAAAAAGGGAUUGUAUGGUUUGAAACAAGCAUCUAGGCAAUGGUAUAAGAAAUUUGACAGUUUUAUGCUGCGUGAAGGUUAUUCUAAAUGCGAUUUGGAUCAUUGUAUGUAUUUCAAGGGUUCAACAUAUGAUUCUUUUAUUGUUUUGUUGUUUUAUAUUGUGAUAUAUUUGUUGCUAACAAUGAUCUGUGUGAAACCAAGCAUUUAAAGCUUGAUAUGUUCAAGCAUUUUGCCACCAGGGAUCUUGGAUUAGCCAAGAAGAUUUUGGGCAAGCACAUCCAUAGAGACAGAAAGCAAGGUAAGCUUUGGUUAAGUCAAUCUGAAUAUAUUCUAAAGUUCUUGAGUGCUUCAAUAUGAUUGAUUGUAAAUAUGUUUCUACACCAUUAGCUGCACAUUUCAAGUUGUCUAAAAGGGAGUCUCCAAUGAAUGAGGUAGAUAGAAGUAAGAUGAAUAAUGUUCUAUAUAGGGACUCUCCAAUAAUGUCAACCUGAAUGUUUUGAGAACAAAACCAAUCAUAACUUAGUUUGCAAGUUGAAAAAGGGAUUGUAUGGUUUGAAAAAAGCAUCUAAAAAAUGGUAUAAGAAAUGUAAUAGCUUUAUGUUGCGUGAAGGUUAUUCUAAAUACGUUUUUUAUCAUUGUGUGUACUUCAAGGGUUCAACAUAUGAUUCUUUUACUGUUUUGUUGUUUUAUGUUGAUGAUAUGCAUGUUGCUAGCAAUGAUUUGUGUUAAACCAAGCGUUUAAAGCUUGAUAUGUCCAAGAAUUUUGCCACCAAGGAUCUUGGACCAGUCAAAAAGAUUUUGGGCAUGUACAUUCAUAGAGACAGAAAGCAAGUGGGAGUUGUUUCCAGAUUUAUGUCUAAUCCAAGUUGGGACCAUUGACAAACAAUGAAGUUUAUGCAGGAUGCCGUGAUACUAGAAGGUUUACCACUUGAUAUAUUUUCAAUGUUGAUGGUGGUGUAGUCAGGUAGAUGUCAAGGUUGCAGGAUAUCGUUCCCUUGUCAUCAACUGAAGAUGAGUAUGUGUCAUUGACUGAGGCAGCGAAGCAAAUGAUUUGGUUGUGAAUGUCACUUAGCCAGUUUGGGGUGAAACAAGAAAAAUAUAUUGUGCAUUGUGAUAACUAGAGUGAUAUUCAUCUGGCUAAGAAUACAUCGUAUCAUUCCAAGAUAAAGCAUAUAGAGGUUGGAUAUCAUUUUAUUCGGUUGGCCCUCGAGCGUAGAUUUACAAAUGGACAAGAUUCAUAUUGAGAAGAACCUUGCUGAUAUGUUAACAAAGGUUGUCUGAACUAAAAAUAAUACGACGUGUAGAAGGCUUUCGGGGUUGGAGGAGACGUAACCUCGGGUGGAUGGAGAGUGGUGCAUUGGCGAUUAUUUCAAAGACUUUGUGAUUUGUCUUCAAGUGGGAGAUUGUUACAUGUGUAAAAACAAAUAGUACUUGUGGGAGUUUUAUUUAACUUUUCUCUUUUUUAUUUUGGGCCAUUGGAUUACAUCUAAUCCAAUAGUUGUGGUGUUGUUAGAACUUUACGCUUUUAAAGGGACUAAAACCCUUUUGUUUAGAGAGAGAAAGAGUGAGAAAAAGAUAGAAAGAUUGGGUGGCAAUUGGGUUUUCUCUUGGGAGCUUAGUAUACUUUGUUUUAGAGAUAGAGUGAGCAAAAAGCUUGAACUCUAUUGUGGGUUUGCUGUAUGUCCUGUUUUAGUAAGAGAAAACGUUAAAAAGAAUUUUUUGGUGCUCUUAGUGCCUUA
This is a long non-coding RNA of Amborella trichopoda, 1790 nucleotides long. RefSeq lists it as uncharacterized. Lineage: Eukaryota; Viridiplantae; Streptophyta; Magnoliopsida; Amborellales; Amborellaceae. The record is from RefSeq and is a predicted model, not a curated record.